RNAcentral lists this long non-coding RNA (3467 nucleotides) under Canis lupus familiaris (dog). RNAcentral describes it as "lncRNA (ENSCAFG00845006676.1)". The record is from RNAcentral. Lineage: Eukaryota; Metazoa; Chordata; Mammalia; Carnivora; Canidae.
CUUUUUUUUUUUUGUCUUUUUUUUUUUUUUUUUUUUUUUUAUUGGUGUUCAAUUUACUAACAUACAGAAUAACACCCAGUGCCCGUCACCCAUUGUUUCUCGUCUUUUUGAUUCUAGCCAUUCUGUGAGGGGAUAUCUUACUGUGGUUUUCAUUUGCAUUUCCUUGAUGGGUAAUGAUGUUGAGCAUCUUUUCAUGUGUCUGUUGGCCAUCUGGAUGUCUUGUUUGGAAAAAUGUCAAGCCCUCUGUCCAUUUUUUUAAUUGGAUUGUUUUUUGGUGUUGAGUUAUACAACUUCUUUUAUUUGGGAUAUUAUUAGGAUAUACUUUAAUAUUUUGAAUAUUAACCCCUUAUCAGGUAUAUCAUUUGCAGUAUCUUCUCCCAUUCAGUGAAUUGCCUUUUCAUUUUAUUGAUGGUUUUCUUUGCUGUGCAAAAGCUUUUUAGUUUGAUGUAGCCUCAUUUAUUUUUGCUUUUGUUUCCCUGGCCUGAGGGAACAGAUCUAGAAAAAUAUUGCUUAAGGCUGACGUCAAAGAGAUUUGUGUGCAUCAGCAGUUGAUUUAUACUUAUUGCUGGGUAGUAUCCCAUUGGAUGAAUGCACCCAGGUAGAUCUUUCACCAGUUGAUGGACAUCUGGGUUGUUUCCAGUUUUGGGUGGUUAUGAAUACAGUUGCUAUAAGCAUUUAUAUACAAGUUUUUGUGUGAUCAAAAGUUUUCAUUUUUCUUAGGUAAAUACUUAGAAGUGGGAUGGCUGGAUAAUGUGGUAAGUGCAUAUUUUACUUAAUAAGAAAUUGCCCAACUCUUUACAAAAACGGCUAUAGCAUUUUGCAUUUCCACCAGCAACGUAGGAGAGUUCUGGUGGCUCCACAUCCUCCAGCUCUUGGCAUUGCCAGUCUUCCCACCUGCGCCCUCCAAUCUAAUAGGUGUAUACUAGUAUCUUAUCAUGGUUUUUAGAUUUAUUUAAUGGCUAGUGAUGUUGAGCACCUUUUCAUGAACUUGUUUGCCUCUUUUAUAUCCUCUUUGCUGAAGUAGCUGUUCAAAUCUUUUGCCCAGUUGUUUUCUUGUUGAGUUUUAAGAGUUCUUUAUAUAUUUGGAAUAUUGAGUUUUAAGAGUUCUUUAUAUAUUUGGAAUAUAUCUAUAAGGGCUCAAAGGAUCUGGGGCUCAUCAAGGAAAAGGAUAAACCACAAGAGGCAGUAAUACACAAUAUUUACUGAGAGGUGCUUGGAGAGCGUUGUGUGGAGGGGAAGUUCUUCAUCUCAUGAAGCUGGCUGGAGGUCUGUGGUGCGGGGGCCACCAUCCAGGAGGGGAGGACUCUAGGGUACUCUGGGAGAGAGGAGAUGGAGAUGGGAGAAGGGGAUUUCUGUGUCUAGGUAUAUAGCUCAACAGCGCAGCUUGUGUUGGGUUGGGGAGCUCCAGGUCAAAGACACCCCCCAUGACCAAUAACCGCAGCAACCUGAGGCUUAUAGCCAUAGGGCUCUGGCUUAUCAGUGGUCAUUGGCAAGAGCUGUCAGGUAAGGUAAGGUUUCAGUGGGGAUAUGAAAAGCAGGCUCUCAAUGGCUAAAAAUGUGCUUGUUUGGGGUAUUUCAAAAUAAUAUGUUAAAAUUUGAAUUUGGCACCAGCACAUUCUUGAGGUAGCAGGUCUCAUGCCUGUUUUUGGAUCCAAUGAUAAAGCAUCCUUAGGAUCCCAGAAUCCUAUAAAGUCACAAACUAGGAUUUCAGAACCUUUUCAGCCAGUCUGCCCAUUAGUAGUUGAGAGCCAAGUGAAUUGAUCCAAAAUUUAUCUGUUUAGUUAGCAGAUAAAUUUUUUUUAGUUAGUAUUGUGGCACCUUUGAUCUCUGUCCUGUACUCUGUAAAAUUGGUGAGUGUUGUUCAUCCACAGGCAGCAGGAUGUGCUAACAAGCACUAGACACCCUCCACCCCAGCCAUGUGGGGCUAGGGUGACUAGCCACAGAAUGUGUAGUUGUGAUGUAGUUUUGCAAUGUAGGUGAGGUUUGGUGGGGUGAAGUUUGGAGCCAAUGACUAAGAAUUCUUGAGAUGUCUUCGGUACAAAAAGGUGGUUUUAUUAAAGCACGGAGACAGGACCUGUGGGCAGGAACAGCUGCUGCACUGGGGUUGUGAGGGGUGGCUGAUUGUAUACUUGGGAGGUGGGAGAUAUAAGGAAAAGGGAGAUUUUGAAAAGAACUUUAAUAGGCUAAAGAGGACCUACCAAAUACUGGGGGCAUCGCCAUUGUCAAGUUGGGUUUUUUUUUUUCCCCUCUAGCAAGGCAUUAACAUUAAGACAGCUGGGAGCUUCCUGGAGGAAUGUCACACAUAUCCCACCCAGGAGUUGGAGAGGUUGCUGGGUGUCAGCUUGUGCUUUGUCCUCAGCUGGCCUUCUGAUCCCUCAUCAGUUGCACUGGUGAAGGUAAUAGGGAAAAGGCAUAGUCACAGAGUAGGGGUUAAAGUUGCAGGGAAGCUGUUGGUCUUCUGGGAAUCACCCAUAUGGUGCUAUCCCAUUCAGGGCAAUUAAUUCUGUUAACAAAAAUUCAACCAAGUAAAUCUUCAUAAUUUUUCAAUUAGUUUAAAAAAGAUUUUAUUUCUUUGCUGGAGAUAGCAAAAGAGCACAAGCGGGCGGGGGGGGGGGGGGAGACAGGGGGAGAAGCUGACUCCCCACUGAGCAGGGAGCCCAACACAGGACUUGAUCCCAGGACCCUGGGAUCAUGACCGGAGCUGAAGGCAGAACUUAACUGACUGAGCUACCCAGGCACCCCUCAACCAAGUAAAUUUGAAAGAUCCAUCUCCAUCUAGCAAGUCAAGGGGAGCUCCAAAGGGCUACAGAAAAGGAAAAGUUCCUAGGGAGUAGAAAAAGGGAAAUCAUUAGUAAAGAACCAUUGUUUUAGGAAAGGUUGCACCCCUAAGGGGAACAGCAGGGGCAUAGCAGUAAAUCUCCCAGUGCUGACCAGGAACAUCCCAUGUUGACUGGGUAAAGAGGAUAUUUCUAGGGGGCUGAAACUGCAGUUAGGUCAAGGCCCCAAGACAGCCAAAUGUGGUCUCCUUUUCCACAGCUCUGUCUCCUGGGUGUUAGGAGCAGGUCCAAGUUUGCUCCAUAGCCUGUAGUGGGGCAACGUACAUGCGUGAUAGGGAGGACACUUCUCUCUUUCUGGUAAAGUUUUUACUAAAUAGAACGUGUUAGUCAAAUAUAUCAACCACUUGUUCCUGUUUUUUGAAUGUAUCCAUUCAAGCAAUGAUAUGGCAGAGGCAUUCUAAUUAAAGGAAGAGCCCUGUUUAAUUCUCUGUUGUCUACAGUAAGCCAGCCCAGGGGGAUGAAAAAGGGAGUGUGUGUGUGUGUGAGCCUGGGUGGCUCAGCACUUGCGCGUCUGCCUUUGGCUCCUGGGAUCCGGGAUGAGUGCCCCAUUGGGCUCCUUGCCGGGAGCCUGCUUCUCCCUCUGCUUAUGUCUCUGCCUCUCAGUCUUUCAUGAAUAAAUAAAUAAAAUCU